AGGAGUGUAGCUCAAUAGAAUAGAGCAUCCGGCUUCUACCCGGAUAGUUGUAGGUUUGAGUCCUACCACUCCUG
This 74-nucleotide transfer RNA is filed under the name Calothrix sp. 336/3. It matches the Rfam family "tRNA". From Rfam's summary of the family: Transfer RNA (tRNA) molecules are approximately 80 nucleotides in length. RNAcentral also lists the same sequence under 1 other name. The record is from Rfam by way of RNAcentral. Lineage: Bacteria; Bacillati; Cyanobacteriota; Cyanophyceae; Nostocales; Calotrichaceae.